Molecule: non-coding RNA, 422 nt
Filed under: Streptomyces afghaniensis 772
Lineage: Bacteria; Bacillati; Actinomycetota; Actinomycetes; Kitasatosporales; Streptomycetaceae
Description: Bacterial large subunit ribosomal RNA
Rfam family: Bacterial large subunit ribosomal RNA
Source: Rfam by way of RNAcentral
GCGUAGUCGAUGGAUAACCGGUGUAUAUUCCGGUACCCGCUAGUGAAGACGUCAAACAUCGAAUCCAGUGAUGCUAAGCCCGUCGAAGCCGUUCCGGACCCUUCGGGGAAAGGAAAGUAGGUGGAGCCGGUGACCCGAUCUGGUAGUAGGUGAGUGAUGGGGUGACGCAGGAAGGUAGUCCAGCCCGGGCGGUGGUUGUCCCGGGGUAAGGGUGUAGGCCGUGCGGUAGGUAAAUCCGUCGCACACAAGGCUGAGACCUGAUGCCGAGCCGAUUGUGGUGAAGUGGAUGAUCCUAUGCUGUCGAGAAAAGCCUCUAGCGAGUUUCAUGGCGGCCCGUACCCUAAACCGACUCAGGUGGUCAGGUAGAGAAUACCGAGGCGUUCGGGUGAACUAUGGUUAAGGAACUCGGCAAAAUGCCCCCG